AUUGAACGCUGGCGGCAGGCCUAACACAUGCAAGUCGAACGAGUGGCGGACGGGGGUGUAAUAUGUGUGAAACUGCUCGAUGGAGGGGGAUAACUACUGGAAACGGUAGCUAAUACCGCAGACCAUCUGAUGUGCCCAGAUGGGAUUAGGUAGUGGGUGGGGUAACGGCUCACCUAGGCGACGUUCCCUAGCUGGUCUGAGAGGAUGACCAGCCACACUGGAACUGAGACACGGUCCAGACUCCUACGGGAGGCAGCAGUGGGGAAUAUUGCACAAUGGGCGCAAGCCUGAUGCAGCCAUGCCGCGUGUAUGAAGAAGGCCUUCGGGUUGUAAAGUACUUUCAGCGGGGAGGCGUUACCCGCAGAAGAAGCACCGGCUAACUCCGUGCCAGCAGCCGCGGUAAUUC
This 406-nucleotide ribosomal RNA is filed under the name uncultured bacterium. Its description in RNAcentral is "partial 16S ribosomal RNA". It matches the Rfam family "Bacterial small subunit ribosomal RNA", at positions 30 to 526 of the family's 1533-position model. The record is from RNAcentral.